This is a non-coding RNA of Rattus norvegicus (Norway rat), 17586 nucleotides long. The record is from RefSeq and is a predicted model, not a curated record. Lineage: Eukaryota; Metazoa; Chordata; Mammalia; Rodentia; Muridae.
CUCUGUAGGGCCAGGAGCAACAGAGAAGCCACUUAGUUCCAUCGCCCAUGGCUGACUCAUCCCUCAGAUGGUCUGACAGCAUUCCUCAUGGAUCUGUACAGUGGGAGGGGACCAGUCCUCUCAAACUGCUCACCCUGGGGCUAACCCGGCCCUGAGCAACUGAAUCAAAUAUCUGCUUCCCAACACACCCAUUUUCAGCAAGUGAUGGCAGCAUUCCUGUCCAUUAUAGACACUGUAUUCUUGAUCUUGCUUGUGAGCUCACCCACCACUCAGCCUUCCUACUAACCUAUGUUGCUUCCACACAAGGGUCACAGCAACUUCAUGCUGCAACCAAGUCAAGAGAAGAGUAGUCACAGGGCUCUGGGUAUAAGCUUAGAACAGAUGGGGGUCUGCCAGGAUCUCUGUCUUACAGUCUCCGCUUCUUGGCAAUACACAGACCAGCUUCCUUAAAUCUCAUUCAUUUCAAUGCAGAGAAACAAGCCAUCUUUGAGGCAAGAGAGGACAGGACACUACAAAGGAGGUGGGGUGUGGGCUGAGGGGCUUUGACUAGCCACCCCUGCAAGCUCAGAAAGUGGUGCAAACAGUGCCAGGGACUGGCAUUUCUCUUCACAGAGAGGGAGCUGAAUCGAUAAGGUCAGUAGAAUAAGUCAGUUGUCACCUUUGCAAAAGGCCCUGUCCCAAUCUGCAGAGCUCACGGAGACUUUGCUCCAAGACACCCUUUGACUGCAGCCAGGUGAGCUGGUAGAAGCUUGUGGGCUUCUUGCCCCUCCCAGCCACACUCUUCCCUCUGCACUGGCUUCUGGGAUAUGUAGGGAGAUGAGAAAGGCAGGAUGCAGAAUGGAGUUGCGCUGGAACCAUAUGAUGGUCUACGCGGAUGUGCAGGUCCCCUAAGCCCUGCAGUGCUACAACUCAGGUGAGACCUCUCCUGCUCAUGUCUGUCCUACCUGUGGGGUUGCUCUAGUUCCUUCACUGUCUUGGUGGAGUUCUAAAGUGUCUCUUGAGUUCUGAUGGCAUGCAUGUUACCUCAAGCCAGGCAAAGCUCUGUAUGAAGUCAUAACAGAAAGCUGCAACCACUGUUGUGAGCCAGUGUUUUGUGUUUUUAAUUGUCACUGAAAACCAGGGACUUUGCUUAUGCUGGGCAAGGGCUGGACCACUGAGCUGUAUCCCCAGGUCCCUUGGUCAUUUGAGGCAGGAUCUGGUUAUGUAGCUCAGUCUGGCCUUGAACCUGUGAUGCUUCUGCCUUAGCAAGUGCCUUCAAAUACUGAGAUUCCAAGCCCGUGCCACCCCACUCAGCUAGAACCUGCACGUUUGAAACCUCGUCUUUGUCUUCCAUGGAAACACAGAGAAAGAAAAACAAGCUUUUAUAAGCAGCAUUUACAAGUUGGAACACAGCUGGAAUCUCAGUUAGGCAUGUCCCCUAACUGAAGCUCCUUCGCAGGAGUGAGUAGCUUUGGCUAAGCAGCGCCCCUUUCCAGUGAUCCUGAGGUAGCACGGCAUCAACCGAACACUUCACAUCAUGAGUUAGAGCCUUAUCACAGGAUGAUUUCAAAGGCCUCAAUGAGAAAUGUUACUUGGCAAAGCCCUGCUAAACUGACAGGAUAUGAGUGGUCUCUUUAAAAAAAAAAAAACCACAAACAGAAAUGUCUCAGACAUCCGCUCUCCUGGCAGGGAAGGAGAUCUCUGACGCUAAGUUCCGAAAUAGAGAAACUUUGUGUUACUAGCAAGCGGCGGCAUGAGCCCAGGAGGAGUGGAGAGAGAGAGAGAGGCAAGGUUGAGUGACAGCCCAACGCCAGUCCCCUGUACCAAGACCCAGUGUGCAAUACCUUGUUCUUCUAGGAUCCCGUUAGGCAUCUUCUUGUCGUUGCUGUUGACCACGGCUUUCCUCUGCUUCCUGAACCUUAGAGGCACAAGACGUGUUAGGUCUCAGCACAGCGGGAACCCCCAAGCCCUGAGUGUCGUGAUACCCACCAGGAGCUGGUUAGAGCACGUCAGUGCCUGGGGACACUCCUACCUGAAGAAGUAGGCUGCAAGGAGGAACAGGAGGAGGAGCAGAGGCAGCAGCAGCCAGGUCCACCUUCCUCAGAGAGACACAUAUUUCUGCCCUUGCACCUUGGCUUUGGUGACCUUGUGGUCAUCAACGGACCCAUUCUCUCAACCUCUUGGGGCGCUCUCUCAUCUCCACAAAGCUCCCACCCAAAGGACCCCAUCAAAAGCCUGCUACGACAGUUAACCAGCGUGGCUCCCGUCUCGACCUGGUCCGAGGAGCUAUGUCCUGCAUUUGGUGAGUCCAUGCUACAAGAGUGAGCAGGUCCCCAUGGGAGGCUCUGGAGGUCAGUAGCUAGAUUUCUAUCCUCCUGAGUUCCAGAAGUGUCAAACAUUGUUCCCAAGCCGAGCGUGUGUUUCAGAGUUCACGUCCUUCCUCCCAUGUGCCAACCUGGUUCAUCGAAACUCAGGACUCCAAGAAGGAGUUUGAAAUGUCAUUUUUUUCCCCCAGCCCUGUGCAUGUAAUCUAGAGGCUAUGCCCCACAGUACGUCACCUGUGGCUCUGACUCAGAGGAGCUGAUUCCCAUCAUGUUCAAGGUCAGGUAUAUAUAUUUUAGGCUUAAUGGCUAGGACUAUCUGUCCUUCCCUCAGGGGAGUACUCCAAACCUACCCACUGCCCAGCUGGGGCCCUUUAGGAGCAGCCUGGCCCAAGACUUCCAGGUCUGGCUCCAGGGAAUGGUAUACCCUAGACUAUGACCUGCAUCAAAUUUUAGCUUGGGUUGCUGAGAUCUGCCUAACACCAGCAGGCAGAGCUAAGCCAAUCCCAGGGAGUCUCACCGUUCAGGGUCCCCUGAUUCAACUCCAUCCAUUUUUGGUCAGAGACCACUAGAAAGUGUGGGCAGGCUCCUCCUUCUUUUCAGGAAAUGCUCACUGUCUUUUCUCGGUGUGUCACCGUGGUGAAACUACCUACUUCUGCAUUGCCCAGAGGUCAGCCCCUGGCUCAGGCUCUGUUCUGCAGAAGUAGCUGCUAAACUGGCUUGGCUACAAGGUCCACCCUGUCAUAGACAGAGCCCUACAUCGAUUGUCACACAGGCAGAAGGACGGCUCAGAAGGACUCAUUAUCCCUCCACUUGGUUUCUGUCACUUCUAACGUGCUUUGCCCAGGAAGGCAGAGGUCAGGGCCAGAACCUCUCAGACUUCCCAAGGGUAGCAAAACGCCCAAACCCAGGCUGGGUGGCGUGGGACACAGGGAACUGUGAGGCAUGCUCUGGCUACAGUGUCUGAGCAUGUAGGAGGAUGAAUCCAGACUACUUCUGCCUCAAAUACCGCAAAGGAAGAAACCCAUGCUUGAUGUAAAUGUUUCUGAAAUUGUGGAUGGACCUUGAUAAACAUUGUGGGCCAGGAAAUAAGUCCUGGUGCACACGGGGUAGUGUCCCCUUGGUCCCAGUGGUGUUCCACCCAGGGAGUCAUGAGGUCUCCCAGAGGAUAUCCUAUGGUCACAUUCUAUUUCCAGUUUAUGUUGACUCAGGGGUGGGGAUGGGAAAAAGGGCAAGAGUGGGGAGAUGCAGAUGGGUCUCUCUAGAUGGUUCAGCCUUUUCCCUAAAGUGUUGUUGGGUUUUCCAAUUGCACGUGAGCGAGUACAUGCGUGUUCACAUAGACUUUAGGCAUAGGUGUGCCUGCAUGUGAAUAUAUACACAUUUGCUUACACAGAAUCUUCCUGACACUAGAAAGGCAAUAGUUUGUGUGUGCAGUGGGGCCUGAUGCUGCUUUACUCUGGACACAGAUUUCCCUGGUGACUCCUUUGCUGUGUCAGAAGGACCCAGGCAGAAGAGCAUGGUCUAGCCUGAGUAAGCUCUUUCCAAACCUUAUGGAACUCUGCAGCAAAUCUGCCACAGAGAGUUCCCCUCCAAUGAGGGACAUUCUACACGUCUAGGGGGUCCUCAGUGGAGAGGCAGAGUUAAAGUAAAGGAGGAAGAGGAAGAGGAAAAGGAAAGACAGGAAGCACAGUGAGCAGCUGUGCUCUGGGAAGAGACAACAGUCCCUGGAGGACUGUGCUGGAGAACUCUCUGGGAUCUAGUCCAUAAAGCUUCUCUGGCCAGAGGCCUGUGAUUAGCAUUCCAAGGAGCCCAGUCAGAGCGAACACACACACACACACACACACACACACACACACACACACACACACACACACACACACACACACACGUAGGUUGACUGUUUUGUUUCCCUGGCAUGACGUUGUGAGUGUAUCUUCCCCUACAUUUUCUUCUAUGACGCUAAACUGGUGAACACAUAGGUUUGGUAAAUAAAUUAGACUCACGACUCCCUCCUGUCAUCCAAGAUUGCACGGCAGAAGGAAGUACAGUUAUUUUACAAAUUGAUAGGGAAGAGAGGAAAAAAAAACCAAACCAACAAUGAUAAAGAAUCACCCACUUGAUGACAUACCAACGUCAUCCAACAUUAGUGCUAUGCAUAAAGCAACCGGAUGAAACACACACCUCUCUCCUUGCUCCUGGAGAGUUACCAUGCGAGGUGAGCCUCUUCCUUCUGAGUCCUGGCUGCUUGCCACCAUAUGCUUUGGCCUGGCCCAGAUUAUGGGUAUUUGAAGCUAUUUUCCACUUCGCUGUUCCCUGUACUUCUACUUCUAGAUUUAAAAAGAAAUUAUAUUCCUAUUUACGCAUCUGCAAGUGGGUAUAUGUCUUUGUGUAUUCGGACCACAUGUGUGCAGGUGCUCAUGUAGGCCAGAGGAGGGUGUCUGAUCUCCCAGAGCUGAAGUUUCAGUCAGUUAUGAAGGGUCACGUGGAUGCUAGGAACCGGACUUGGGUCCUCUGGAAGAGCAAGUGCUCUUAGCCACUGAGCCCACUCUCCAGCUCCUAACUUGGGCACGUUGUCUCACCAGGGUUUCUGUGUGGCAUCUCCUGAAAGUGGACCUUUGUGCCUACUAUGCUCAUUACCAAACAAGAGUAGAACUAUCCAGAUGGCCUCCCAAAGCAUCUGACUUCUAAGUUCGCCUUACAAAGGGGUUUACAAGAGAGGGAGGCCCUUUCUCCUGGACGCUAAUGAUCCUUCCACUUUUAGUCAGGUAAAAAGCACAAUACCACUUUAACUUGAUUUUCUCUAAUAUCUAGAGAGUUUGGAACCUUGGCCUGAUGAUUAAAAUGGAAUUAAUUAGAUACUUUGAUUUUGCCUGGUCGUGUUUGACAUCUCCUAAUAGCUUCAGCUGUCAACUUGACAUACCCCGGAAUUAUCUGAGAAUGGCCUUGCCCAGAUGGACAUAUGCUCAUGUCAGUGGGGUAUUUUAUUAUUGGCUGAUGUGGAAGGCCCCAGACCAUUGGAGGUGGCACCAUCUCUAAGUAGGGGGUGUUGGGCUGUAUAAGAAAGCUACUUGAGUGUGAGUCAGUGAGUGAGCCGCUAAGCAGUAUUCCUCCGUGAUUUCUAUUUUAGUUCCUGUUCGAGCUUCUUCCCAGACUUCCCUUCAUGGUGGACCAUGACAGAGAUAUGUAAGCCAAGUGGACCCUUGCCUCGCUGGUGCUAGGUCAUAGUGUUUGUCACGGCUGUAGCAAAGCAAAUCAGAACAUCAUCCAUUUUCCUAAUGUGCUCUUUCACACGUUAAAAUUAAGGAUUCUUGGGGCUGGGGAUUUAGCUCAGUGGUAGAGCACUUACCUAGGAAGCACAAGGCCCUGGGUCCGGAAAAAAAAAAAAGAACCCCCCAAAAAAAUUAAGGAUUCUUCCUGUAUGUAUCGCGGAUAAUAACACCUCCUCGCAACUUUCUUUCUUUUUCUUUUUUUUUUACAUAUUUAUAAUGAAUUCUUUGUCUAAGAAAAUGUGUCAUGAUGAAUAUUGAAUUCAUUUUGGCCAGAGAUGAAAGGAAACCAUUUCCUGUUGUUCCGGCACGUUCUGGCAAUGUGCUAACCCUCAAGAGAUAUUUUGUGAUUUUUCAGGGGCCAGAUCUUUUACAGAGGACUUGGAGUGCCCUCCCAAGUUGCAGGACAAAGGAGCAGCCAUGUAACUGUAAGGCCUCUGUAGCUCCUGAUAGUGAGACCAGAGCUGUUGUUAGUAAGCUGAGGCCCGGGGGAGACCUAACCAGAGCAAGUUUCACAUUUACUUCUGUUCCGGGUGCUGAGGUCAUGUGAUAGUCUUCUCUUCCAGAAAGCAACACUUCCUGCCCAUGGCUAUGUUAUAAACCAAUACAUUUUGCUCUCAAGUGAACUUGGAAAGUCCUAGGUGAUGCCACCCUGAGGGAGACUCAGGUAACUCCUGGUUGGGGCUGUCACAGGACCCUGAUAGAUUCUACCUCUACUGUGGAGAGAUGGAUACUCUGUCCCCAGACUUCAAGAUGUCUACUAGAUGUGCAGGCAGCUUUCCAGCUGAUUAGUAUUUGGGGAGGGAUGUCAGGGAUGUGGGCGGGGGAAACUUCAGUGAAUGUUCUUGAGGGUCACCGUCCUUGGGUGGGUCUUUGAUGUUCUGUGCUGCAAGACAUGAUGGCCUAUAUGUGGAAAGCCAUGUGCAGAGAGGCAGGCCCUGCAGGGUCUGGUUUUGUUUUAUUUGUUUUGCUUGUUUGUUUUUUGUGGCUGUGGGUGUCAGGGCAAGGAGGAAGGAUACAGCCAGAGUGUGAGUUACCUCAGGUGUUUGAUCUCAUGGCAGGGUUGCGCUUCUACCCUCCCCUCAUGGACACCAUUAUGCCUACGGGAAAUUAAUCAAUGGUCUGGAAACCCUGUAAGGUCCUUGAGUGAGGUGAAACUUGAACCUCUGACCCACUGGGAGGGCACCAAAUUCCACUGACUUUUUCUAAGAAGCUUUUCUGUAAGGAUAUUGAUCAUUUGAGUCUUCCUUAAGCUUUGCAAGGGCCAAUACCAAACAUGUUGCUCAGUUUCACGUGUAAACUUGACCAGGUCAUGCUGCAAAAACAUUUCGAGACCACCAUCGGAGACUGAGGCUAACACUAGAAUCUACACAUUGAGUGAAGCAGACGGUCUGCCCCAGUGUGGGUAGGUCGUACCAGGAAUGGAGCAAGUGUGUAGGAAGGGAAGGAUGGGACUGAGGCAGGUACAAGAUAGGCACGAGCCUCUGCUAUUGUGGGUUCCUUGUGACUUUGUCACUAAGACAUGCUGCAGAGAAUACCUGCCAACUCCUUAGGGAGGGUCCCUGACUUCACUCAUCUGCCCUGAGCCUGGCUCUCUCUGGGUGCAGCACAACCUGCAAAAAUCACAAAGAAGGAGUUGAAGGUUGAGCAUCCGAACUGGCUAAUGGAGACUGGCUAGAUGGCUGGCGCUUGCCCGCUGUUGACCACAGCAUAAGCCGAUGCUGAGGAAUGCGGCUGUGCUCUGAAGACUGUCCAGCCUGCUUGUCUCCAUAAGGCUCACUGCAUCUGUACCUCAUGCUCAGGGCAGGGAGGCACAGAGGGCAUAGAGGAGUGAGUGCAUCCAGGUUACUCAGCUAACAAGUGGCUGAUACAAGAUUUGAACCCAGGCAGUAAGUCGAGAAGACCCAUUCUCGUUUGUUUGGGCUUUUUCCCCCCUUUCUACAUCCUCUUCCUCACUUUGGGUUUGCAUAACAUUUAUUCAUUUAAUUGAGGUGAUAUUUACAUGUACAAUGAACUUGUUUUUAAAGCACGGUGCGUUAACUUCCCAGGGUUAGGCAGCUCUGGCUUUAGAGUAUUUCUUUGUCUCCAGUUAAGACCCCUUCCUGUCUUCAUCCUCAGCCCUGGAAACGGCUCACUACUCCCCCGUCCAUGAUUUUCAGGUACUGGAUAUUUCCUGUCAAUGGAAUCCUACCUUAGUCUACAUCAUGGGGUUUCUGUGUCUACCUUCUGUCAGUGGGAAUGUCUCUGAGGUUCCUCCUUGAUGCCACAUGGGCACCAGUAUGCUUCUUUUUUUUUUUUUAAUAUUUAAACUACAAGGGGAGGGAACAGACUAAGAAUAAUCCCCAUCCCUGCCCUGGGGUGUAUCUGUAACGUUCUUGAGAGGCUAGGACAAUGCUGUCCUUUUCAACUCUAUCUCCCGGAAGCCAUGGCACAUCCAAGAAUGCUCCGCGUUCACCUAGAGAAACAGCAACUGUUCUUCUUUUAAGAGAGGAAACUCCACCACAUAUCAGUAUUACAGAAUAUUAACAAACAACAAAAUAAUAACAUUCUUCGCCCUGUUGUCUGACUGUUUGCUCCAGAUUCAAACCUAUCAUCAUGAGAGGAAGGCAGGGAGCUCACAGAACAUAAGGGUGUGAGUUACCUCAGGUGUUUGAUUUCAUGGCAGGGCUGCGCUUCUUCCCUCCCCUCAGGGACAACAUUAUGCCUAUGGGAAAUUAAUCAAUGGUCUGGAAACCCUGUAAGGUCCUUGAGUGAGGUGAAACUUGAGCCAAGUGAACCCUUGAAGUUCUACAAGCCAGAGACAGAUUGCCUGGGGUGUGGUUGGAGUGGAGGGACUCUUAAGUGGAGCUGCCUACAAGUCGCGGAGGAGACUGGUGAUCCAGCUUUCAUGAGUUGUCGCCCGGGCUGGAGAGGGCUUUCCAGUGAAGCAGCUGCCUCUGAGUCACCCAUGCUUCUGUAAGUAACCCCCCAAAACUUACUGGCUCACCAAAUUAGACAUGGAUACAGUCAUUUCUUGAGUCUAUAGUGGGUGUCCUCCAUUGAGUAAUUAAAUGUUUGCUCAUAUCUCCUCAGGAAAAGUUACGCAACAAACCUUCAAGCCAAUAUUCACAUUUGCUCAACCUCCCGGUCAGUGUUUGGUCACAGUUGCUCCUAGCAGGGCUCUACACAGUUAGACAUUUCAGAAUGUAUUGUUGAAUUAAUCAAUUUUGUGUGUGUGUGUGUGUGUGUGUGUGUGUGUGUGUGAGAGAGAGAGAGAGAGAGAGAGAGAGAGAGAGAGAGAGAGAGAGAGAGCGAGCAUAUAUGACAGAGUGUACUUGUAGAAGUCAGAAAACAACUUGGAGUCAUUUCUCUCCUUUCCACUGUGUGGGUCCCAGGGAUCGAACUCAGGUCAUUGAACCUGACAGCCAUCCCUUUGUCACACAUUCAUUUGGAUGGCCCUCCUCAGACUUUCUCUCUCCUUCUUUCACCAAGACUGAUCCAUACGCCGACCCCAGCAGGUGGAGCAGCCUUCUCAAACACACUUAGAUGGCUCUGGUUCUGGCUACAUACCCAGUACCUCAUUGGCACACCGGAAGAGCCACCGAACGCCUUUCCCAGAAGUCCUAGGUGCUCAGGAGGUGGCAGUGUGUGAGGCAGCAGGGGCACAGGUUAGGGGUCCUUACCUGCAGUUGUACUGGUCCAGUUGCUCUCUGUUGGGGUGGUGUCGUUGCCCUGGCCAGCUGUGGCAAGCGACAAGCUAAAACUUGCCAACAGGAGUGGACAGAAGGGUUCCAUGGCACACCUGCAAAGAGAAGAGGACCUGCUCAGAAUCUUCCCGAAUAGAAGGCCUCGGACACGACUGUCGCUCAGUAGGGAGGAAGAAGACAUAUGAGAGAAGCUCACUGUAGGUUUUCAGGAACGUUCUUUUGUCGUCUCCAUCCUACAGUGGUUCAGUCACUGUCAUCUGCAGGUCCAGCCUGAGGACCCAAGGCUCACGGUUCCUACAUUGCUGAGGGUGAAUCAGCAUGGGGUGGGAUCAGACCCCACUUUAUCCAUAUUGCCAGCCAAGAGGCAUCUGUGUGAGUCACCUGGCACUGCAGAUGCCACAUCCCCCAAUACCAACUGUUCACCCGCCUCCUUUACACAACCAUUCUCUGACCAAAUUGUGACUAUGGUGGCUGUGGUAUCUUGGGUAAGUAGAUGACAGUGCCUUCUUGUGUGAUUUUUGGGCCCUUCUCACUAGGCCAGCCAAAUCCAUUCCCUCCAUACCGGGCUCAGGAGCUCCUGACUAAGCAGCCUUGAGGCCAGCGUCAGGGUUCUUCUCUAUCCUCUUCCAUCCUGUGGCAAUAUUUUCUCUCAGCUCACUUCAGUAGCCCUCUCCUGGUCUAGCCGCUAACUUCCUACUCUACAGAAUCAGCUACAGCCUCAGGAGAGAACUAGGUGUUUACCAAGUCGAAUGGAUGCAGGGGACAGACUGAUUGGCAAGGGGUUCGGCAUAGAGAAAGCUCUUUCAUAGUAAGACCUCCCAGGUAACCUUCUUGGCUCUCCAUUUUGCCCAAUUACCUUCAACCAUCUUUAGAGGUGAUGGUGAUGGUGACUACCCGGUGGUGUAGAAAAAUUUGCUUGAGGACUCCUGACCAAUGGAGGCAGGCAAUGGCACCUUCCCAUGGCAGAUCCGUGGUCCCUGUCCACGGACCUCAUCCACAGCCAGCCCAGGGGCUCUGUCCCAUCCCUUCUGAGAAAAAUUUUGCUACCCAAAGCCUCCAAGAAGGACGUGAAUGGACCAGACCUCAGAACUGAGACCAACAGAUAGAUGCUCAGCACUCAUGCUGUUCCAACAGGGAACACUGAUGUUUGUAAUUACUGAAGACAUAGAAGGAGCAGGGCAAUCCCAGUGUUUCUCAGUAGGCAUCACUGCCCUGAUGAACGGGACCCAAGGACUUUAUAACAAUGACCUCACAGAAAUGAGUCAGUGGCCACCAGCAUGAGUGGCCUCUCCUCUUCCUAGUUCCCAAAUGCACAUCGUAGAUUUAUAAAGCGGACCAGACACGAACAGCUCUGUGCUUGAGUGUGUACCUGCUCCAGCCUGCUCCUUGCAUGGGUGUUGUGUACACCGGAACCCCUCAAGGGCUGAGACCAUUGGCUACUGGAGGGUGAGAGACUAGACAGAGCCAGACUGCAGGAUUAUAAAGCCCAUGUUGGAGAUCCGGACUGAUGGGGACACACCCUCAGCUGGAUCCAUGCUGCCCAGGCUCUCACUUGACAGACGGCUUCACACAGAUUGCCACACACUGCCUUCUCUCUUUCCAAUCUGCUACUGAACACUGCCGAGGCACUUCACGUACGCGAGAGGAAACUGCAGGGUAAUUGAUUGGGAAUUAUUAAUUGGCUUAAUUCAACUCCAGAGAUGUGGAAUUCCUGGGUGAAACAUCGUGCUUCCUCUCAAGCAUUAAUGACCUCCCCCACCGAGCAUACAAUGAUCUAAGAGGAGCCUAGGCCAGCACCCUUGAGGAGGACGAAGCUCAACAGCUUUCCCUCAUUAUGUGUGGAUGGCUGUCUGCAAGUUCUCAGAGCCGAACUUCCUGAUGGGACCACUAGAGGGAGAUAAACGGUGCAGACAUCAAAACCUAGCCAGCCAUCUGGUGUCUCUUUAUUAUUCUGCUUGUAUUCUAAGACUAGUAACAACCUGUCGGAGGCUCCCUGGCCAUCCCCUCUCAAAAACUUGCGCAGGCUACUUAGUAAGCACAGGCACGGAAUCUGUGCAGAAAUAAUGUGUGAAAAAGGAAUUAAAUUUACGCCCGAACUCCAAGGAUGGUGGCUGAGUAGUAUUUGCUGCGUGCCUGCCAAGUGCUAAGCACAGGCGGCCCGGGGGGCUUGUGCAGUCUGCAAGCUGGGAUGAACAAAGCAUUCUCUUCCCAGAAAAGCACACUUUAUUUUUACUCUACUCAAAAUCCACCCGUCUCUCAACAUGACUAUAAAACGAUCAUUCUUUUUUUUUUUGGUUCUUUUUUUUCGGAGCUGGGGACCGAACCCAGGGCCUUGCGCUUCCCAGGCAAGCGCUCUACCACUGAGCUAAAUCCCCAGCCCCUAAAACGAUCAUUCUUGUUCCAUUGAACGCUAUUUCGGUACUUCCCACAGCAAGGUUCAACAAGCCUGCUAGGAUCUGGACAUGCUGAGUCAAGUCCCAUCCACGAGCAGGGACGCUCCCAGAGCUGGAAGGGCAGUUCAAGGGUAGAGUCCUAGCAGCCCCACGAGAAGCUGUGGAGGUGAUGCGGUCUCCACGGCAUGGAGGUAGUGAGCACACAACCAGGCUGUCAGUUAUCGUUUCCCCCAGCAGUGAAAUACACAGCCAGAACCGUCAGCUGGCAGGACGGACGACACUGAAGGAAGCUGUGCGUGACCGACAGUCAGGGCAAUCUUUGUUUUAGCCUACAGGAGCUGUACUUCCUCAGGAGCCCUGAAGAGCAAGGGUGGGAAAGGCUGAACUGAGAAGGCCAUGCACCGAUGCAUUAGCCCACGACUAGACCCCUCAGGCUCACUUUCUACUAAUAACCCAGAUUAUUGACAUCAUGUGGAAGCUCAAUAUCAGAUGUCAGACAUCUACAGACCUGGAGAGCGACGUAUAUGUGACAAAGUGUGAAGCCCACCAUGCUCCUCUCAGCUUCCUGGGGCGACCAUCUCCACCUCAAGGGAACAUGAACACAGACACGGACAUGGUUCCAGGAUAUCUUUCUCAGGACCACCAUCCCAUCCCCAGGACCUUUCAUUGUGGCACACACAUUAUCCAUGAGGCUUAGUGAGGCAGGACAGCGAAGGUUCUCGGGGCCGGCUAAACUUGAUCUAUGACAAAUCCCCACAGCUGAAGUGUUCUUAGGAGGACUAAGAACACUGCUUGACAACCGACAGGUGUCUCACUCUCACCUGCAGCACAGAUGACAUACACCCGUGGUUGCUAGGCAGCGAAGGCUGGGCACCCUGCAUUCAUGGGCUGCAGUUCAAUCUAGGACGUCCAGAUGUGGGAAGGAAGGCACCAGCGUUACGACCUAAUGCCUGGUAACAUCAGUCACCCUUUGUGGAGCACAGCAGAGUUCCCAGGCUUGGCCCCUCCUGCCUUUACCAUACUUUACAGGAUCCCAAACUGAAGCUCUGAGGCCUUGGUUGUCAGUGUGUGUGAUACACAUGAAUACAGUGACCCAGGAAGCCAUAAGAGGGAACUGGAGUUAUAAACGAUUGUGAUCUCAGUCCCUCAACCCCAUGUGGGUGCUGGGAAGCAAACUUAUAUUCUCCACAAAAGGAGUGCAUGCUCUUAAUCAUGGGGACAUCUCUCCAGCCCCCAAGUAUCCGUUUUUCUAUGUAACCUUUCUCUAUAAACUCAAGACAAGGUGACCCACCUGGCAAGAUAAUUGUUUCUAAUGCUCUAGGAAAAGGCAAAUAAACAAACACCUCGGCUAAAAAACCUCAGAUAAAACAAUGUCUUUCCACAGCAAAAGAAACAAAACCCAGACCUUUCCUUACCUUUAAGUCUGACUAUACUUAAAGAGAUGAAAGAUUUAAACAAAUGUGUUUGUGUGUUUGUGUGUGUGUGUGUGUGUGUGUGUGUGCGUGUGUGCGCACUGUUCAUUAAAACCUGCAAACCCAGUGUGUUUCAGGUGUAUCUGCAUGACCUUGCCUCUUUGAAGAUGGCUUUGCUUAUUAAAAAAGAAAAGAUGCUCACGGGGAGUCCUCAGCGCUGCGGGUGAAGGGUGGAACUUAAUUGCUUUGAGCAGAGAAAAACUCACGGCACUCAUGGAAUGCACUGCCAAUCAUGUAAAGCGAAUCCCAAAGGCGAUGGUGAUGUUCGCUCACUGGCAAAGGAGCUCUCAUACUCUCUGUGCUAGUCAGCCUUCCAAGGCCUGACAAGACACCUGAGGCAAACAACCUAGGGAGAGCUUCACCCCAAACACCCCCACCAGGUUUGGAACCCAUCGGUGGAUGGAUUAAUCAACCAAUGAGAACUCAUGACUUGCUGUAGCCCAUGGAGCUGGGCCCAGACCUUCAUGAGUGUUUGGGGGGAUGUGUCAUGUUUAAGCUGUAACGGUUUUCCCACUCACCACCAGCGUAUCUUUGGAUUAAUAAGCAUGUCCAGAUGUGAACAUACCUGUGAAGUUAUGUCAACAGGAGGUGUGGCUUUGCAGGGAAGGUGUGCUCUUGCUCCAAUCCACUUCUGUUUCCCCAGUCCCUUGUUCACUUGGCUCUCCUGAGCAGCCGCCUCACUAUUACCUGCGUUGGCCUCUCACCAGCCUCCUGGGCCCCUCACCGGCCACCAUGGAUGCCUGCUCUUCAUAUCAGCCCUCCAUACUAUGCAGAUCACCCUGACUUGAUCCAUCUGUCUUCUGGCCCCUGCCCCCAGGCUCCCUGUCAGCACCCCUCUGCACUUGAAUGUGCGGUUCUGUGAGUCAGAGCCACCUUGUGGUCUUCUAGUAUCUACAGAGGCAGCUGCAGUGGGAAAGCAAGGCCGAGUCCCAACAACACCCAGUAAGACUGUGAGGAGUGCUGUCAGAAGAUCGGGAAGCAGGAAGUAGAGGAGCCACUACGUUUGUAGGGGCAAGACAAACAUGUGCUGUUCCUUUCAGUCACUGGCCCUCAUGGUUCAGAUAAUUCCUCUGAACCUGCAUUUUGAGAGCUCCAAGAACAUAACCCCCAAGCUAAGCUGUGGGGUUCCGCUUGGGGGACAAGAAGGUGCAGGAGGCAGUUCCUCUAUUUUCACAAAGCCUGCAGGUGGCCAUUUCCUCUCUGGUCACAUGCUGUGUCCUGUUCAUGAAGCACCUUACAGGGAACAGCUGUGCCAGCGGCACCUGGGGUCUUGGGAAGAGACAGCUGUGCAGUGUUUUGGGAGCCCUCCAGGGAUUGGUACAGACACUUUCAAUGGAAGAGUCGGGGAAAGAUCACUUCCUCCCCCUCCUGACUUUUAUUUGACUUUAUCUGGACAAUAAAUCAGCUAGUGAUGUCCUUCGAUCAAGACCCAUAAAUAAACCAACACGUCCAUUACUGCUUCCAGGGGAGACUCGCAAACAUUUGGAUAGACUAAUGUUCUCUAUGCUGAAAUCAGCUUCUGCCAUCUCAGGAUAAUUGCCUCAGCAAAUGUGCCAAUCACCUUGGCACCCAGCUCUACCAGAGCCCAGUAACCGAAUGUAUGUGUGGAGGCCAGAAGAGGGUACUGAUUCCCCUGGAGCUGGAGUUAUAGGACGCUGGGAGCUGCCCAACAGGAGUGCUGGGAACCAAAUUCAGGUCCUCUGCAAGAGCGAGAGUAAGACUCUUAACCACUUCACGCCCCCGUCCCCUUUUUUAAAAAGUAUUUAUUUAUUAAUUAUUUAUAAGUACACUGUUCCUGUCUUCAGACACACCAGAAGAGGGCAUCGGAUUCCAUUACAGAUGGCUGUGAGCCACCAUGUGGUUGCUGGGAAUUGAACUCAGGACCUCUGGAAGAACAGUCAGUGCUCUUUAACCACUAAGACAUCUCUCCAGCCCUUCAGCCCCUUUCUUUCUUCCUUUCCUUUCCUUUCCUCUCUUUCCCUUUCCUUUCCUUUCCUUUUUCUUUCUUUAUUCCUCUCCUGUCACCAUGAGGGGACUUCCUAAAGGCCAGCAAGAGCCUCUAAUUACAUAUACGAUGACGUAUCUCACCACCUCUGCCUCCUGCCUAGUUCAUCUGCCAGACCCAUUACCCCAGGGAAUCGUUGUCAUCAGCAGAGGUUUCAGCCAACCCCACUCAGCUUCCAGAAGUAGCAAGAACCAUCCCCAUGAACAGAGCCACAGAAUAUGGAUCCCAGUUGGGUCAAUGAGACCUGUUUUAAUUGGACCACAAGACAAGAGAUUUAAAGUGGCAGAGACGACUUACAGCUAGAUGUGUAAGGGAUGUGACUUACAGCUAGAGGCUGCUGCACAGACACCAUCGAUACCUGCCUGCUGGAAAGCUCUGUGGGAAGAAAGCACGCGCAAGUAGCCCAGCUCCACCAGGAAGCAGCAUGAUGAUGCCCACCCAACGGAGGCCAGGGGGACACAGGCUGGGCAAUUUAGGUUUGUGCCCUCAUCUAGGGCUCAAUGGGCUGGCUUAUGCUCUCUGUAGCCACUGAGAGUAGAAAGUUCUAGAAAGCAUGUGCAGGGACUACAUUCUAGAGGUAAGGGAUGAACAAUGUUUCCUGUGACAGUGACAUUAGCAGCUUAUCAAAGUUCUCAGGGAAACAGUCAGUGUCCCCUCUUGAUAGGUGUUCGGGUGACAAGAGAAACAUGCUUUUGUUAAAAUCCAUCCAAUCUUUAGCUUGAGGUUUGUGCACUUUACCCUCAUCAUGUUAUUCCACCCCUUGAAGAGGGAUGCUCUCACAACAUAGUGAAAAACGGGACAUGUAGCUCGUUUGACGGAAUGCUGGCAGCAUCCACGAGACCCUGGUUACCAACUCCAGCACGAGACAGAAGAUCAAUGGGGCCACAUGCACACCUGUAACCCAGGCGCUCCGGAGGGUCCGCAGCUCAAGGUCAUCUUUGGCUACGUAGCACAUUCAGAGUUCCAAGGCAGUCCGAGUUAGAAGAAACCCCAUCCCAAAAAAUGAAGAGACCAAAGCCAGUGUCUGGCUCCCUUCUAGUCAGCAACUUCCAACUUGUAGCUCUGUACUAUGAUGCAUUCUCAGUCAUAGAUCAGCACCCUGACCACCUUGAUCCCAGGAGAUCUCUGUGUGCCUUGGAGGGGCAGAGGGGACAGGCAGAAAAGAUGUUAUCCAAGGGCUGCUGGUAUGAAUUCAUCACUGUGAUUCUAUCUUGCCUCAUUGGUGGACUGCUAAACCUUUAGUGGAGAUUGCCACAUGUUUCCUGUCCCUCUUUUGUUAAGACAGGGCUUAGUACAAAGGAAUGAUGCUCAUCCAAGCAAAUGUACAGUAAACUCAUGCCUCCAGAUUCACUGACCACCAACUAUAUGCUACUAAGAGAAUGUGGUCAUCUCAGCACUAGAAAAGGACCUGGUUUCUCUUUCCUGUGGAACGGAGGAGGAGUGGCAAGGUGAAAUAGCCCCUCUCCAUAUCCUAUACCCUUUCCCAGGAGCAUUCAGGCUAGGUUGGAAAGAGACUGCCCAGAGUAGUCCAGGGAUUGGGCGGGUUGAGCCCCUACAACAUCCUGGGCAUCACAGAAGCUGUGCGUGUUCAAUGCUCACACAACUGGGUGUGCCAGAGAAAGUCUGAGUUAUAAUUCGGGGACAUUGUGUUUCUAGCUGCAACUUGGAAUCAGAUUUUGUCACCAAAUAACCAGAGGAGCAGUUAUAAAUAAUUCAUGCAUGCUGUUUAGCUCAAUUAACAUUGCUCACGUGGCAAGGGGAGUUCUUUGAAGUCAGUUCUUUCUGGGGGGACAAUGACACACCCCCAUUGGACCAGGCCAUGCUUCUGCCCUAAUUAGAUAUUUGCACAAGAGACCCGAGCGAGGAGGCUGGAUUUAUUUUUAAUAAAAGAAGAUUAAAACGCGUGUAUUCGCAGCAAAUUAAGGAAGACCAAACUGAAUUAAAAAUUCUCCCACAACUUGGCAUGGUGAGGUGCUGAAAAUGAGACACCUCGCUUGAAAUUGUGAAGAGAUGUUGCUUGCACUCAGGAAAUAAAAUCAGGCUUUCCCUUUCCCAAUGUCCCGUGGGAAUUCCGUGUGCCCUCUGUCUUCAGAGAGCCAGUCUAAGCCCAGCCUGUGCGUCCACCUGUGGAGCAGCAGCUGGAGGCUGUAAGUAAAGAGGCAGAUGGGGGUGAUAGGCCAGGAAAUGGGGUGAAGCUGGAUCACUUUGUGUUACAUAGUGAUUCAGGCCACGCCUGAGCUUCUCAAAGAAGGCAAGGGCUCUAGGCUUUCUGUGCUUUCAAAUCCUCCAGAUUAAUGUAAAAUCUUAAGAACCCAAGCAAGACCCUCUUACAGUGGCUCCACACAUAGAUGCUACCAUCAGACCCAGAAAUAGCCUCAUUCACAGAAAGCAGGAACCCAGAUGUUUCCAGUAGCUUUGUUUGUAAAAAACAAACACAUGAACAAAUAAAAAAUAUGAGAACUAA